UACGUAGGGGGCUAGCGUUAUCCGGAAUUAUUGGGCGUAAAGAGCGCGCAGGUGGUUGAUUAAGUCUGAUGUGAAAGCCCACGGCUUAACCGUGGAGGGUCAUUGGAAACUGGUCGACUUGAGUGCAGAAGAGGGAAGUGGAAUUCCAUGUGUAGCGGUGAAAUGCGUAGAGAUAUGGAGGAACACCAGUGGCGAAGGCGGCUUCCUGGUCUGUAACUGACACUGAGGCGCGAAAGCGUGGGGAUCAAACAGGAUUAGAUA
Molecule: ribosomal RNA, 261 nt
Filed under: uncultured prokaryote
Description: partial 16S ribosomal RNA
Rfam family: Bacterial small subunit ribosomal RNA
Source: RNAcentral